This 1439-nucleotide ribosomal RNA is filed under the name uncultured organism. RNAcentral describes it as "SSU rRNA". It matches the Rfam family "Bacterial small subunit ribosomal RNA". The record is from RNAcentral.
UUAACACAUGCAAGUCGAGGGGCAUCAGGAAGAAAGCUUGCUUUCUUUGCUGGCGACCGGCGCACGGGUGAGUAACACGUAUCCAACCUGCCCCUUACUCGGGGAUAGCCUUUCGAAAGAAAGAUUAAUACCCGAUAGCAUAAUGAUUCCGCAUGGUUUCAUUAUUAAAGGAUUCCGGUAAAGGAUGGGGAUGCGUUCCAUUAGGUUGUUGGUGAGGUAACGGCCCACCAAGCCUUCGAUGGAUAGGGGUUCUGAGAGGAGGGUCCCCCACAUUGGAACUGAGACACGGUCCAAACUCCUACGGGAGGCAGCAGUGAGGAAUAUUGGUCAAUGGGCGCUAGCCUGAACCAGCCAAGUAGCGUGAAGGAUGAAGGCUCUAUGGGUCGUAAACUUCUUUUAUAUAAGAAUAAAGUGCAGUAUGUAUACUGUUUUGUAUGUAUUAUAUGAAUAAGGAUCGGCUAACUCCGUGCCAGCAGCCGCGGUAAUACGGAGGAUCCGAGCGUUAUCCGGAUUUAUUGGGUUUAAAGGGAGCGUAGGUGGACUGGUAAGUCAGUUGUGAAAGUUUGCGGCUCAACCGUAAAAUUGCAGUUGAUACUGUCAGUCUUGAGUACAGUAGAGGUGGGCGGAAUUCGUGGUGUAGCGGUGAAAUGCUUAGAUAUCACGAAGAACUCCGAUUGCGAAGGCAGCUCACUGGACUGCAACUGACACUGAUGCUCGAAAGUGUGGGUAUCAAACAGGAUUAGAUACCCUGGUAGUCCACACAGUAAACGAUGAAUACUCGCUGUUUGCGAUAUACAGUAAGCGGCCAAGCGAAAGCAUUAAGUAUUCCACCUGGGGAGUACGCCGGCAACGGUGAAACUCAAAGGAAUUGACGGGGGCCCGCACAAGCGGAGGAACAUGUGGUUUAAUUCGAUGAUACGCGAGGAACCUUACCCGGGCUUAAAUUGCAGUGGAAUGAUGUGGAAACAUGUCAGUGAGCAAUCACCGCUGUGAAGGUGCUGCAUGGUUGUCGUCAGCUCGUGCCGUGAGGUGUCGGCUUAAGUGCCAUAACGAGCGCAACCCUUAUCUUUAGUUACUAACAGGUUAUGCUGAGGACUCUAGAGAGACUGCCGUCGUAAGAUGUGAGGAAGGUGGGGAUGACGUCAAAUCAGCACGGCCCUUACGUCCGGGGCUACACACGUGUUACAAUGGGGGGUACAGAAGGCAGCUAGCGGGUGACCGUAUGCUAAUCCCAAAAUCCUCUCUCAGUUCGGAUCGAAGUCUGCAACCCGACUUCGUGAAGCUGGAUUCGCUAGUAAUCGCGCAUCAGCCACGGCGCGGUGAAUACGUUCCCGGGCCUUGUACACACCGCCCGUCAAGCCAUGGGAGCCGGGGGUACCUGAAGUACGUAACCGCAAGGAUCGUCCUAGGGUAAAACUGGUGACUGGGGCUAAGUCGUA